Molecule: transfer RNA, 69 nt
Filed under: Dolichoris vasculosae
Lineage: Eukaryota; Metazoa; Arthropoda; Insecta; Hymenoptera; Agaonidae
Description: tRNA-Gly
Source: RNAcentral
AUAUAAAUAGUAUAAUUAAUAUAAUUAACUUCCAAUUAAUUGAUUUAUUUUAAAAAAAUAAUUUAUAUA